This 364-nucleotide unclassified non-coding RNA is filed under the name uncultured Chloroflexota bacterium. RNAcentral's name for it is "uncultured Chloroflexi bacterium contains 16S-23S intergenic spacer region". The record is from RNAcentral. Lineage: Bacteria; Bacillati; Chloroflexota.
UCCGGGUUGGACCCGGCGGUCCCGCCAGACGUGGUAACUGACGGCGGGGGUUGCGCUCGUUGCGGGACUUAACCCAACACCUCACGGCACGAGCUGACGACAGCCGUGCAGCAUCUGUGCACGCUCCCUCGCGGGUCCUCGGCGUUUCCGCCUCGUACCACGUGCAUGUCAAGCCCAGGUAAGGUUCUUCGCGUUGCGUCGAAUUAAACCACACGCUCCGCUGCUUGUGCGGGCCCCCGUCAAUUCCUUUGAGUUUUAGCCUUGCGGCCGUAGUCCCCAGGCGGCGCACUUAUCGCGUUGGCUGCGGCACCGGGGGGGUCGAUACCCCCGACACCUAGUGCGCAUCGUUUACGGCGUGGACUAC